Molecule: RNA transcript, 3471 nt
Organism: Nycticebus coucang (slow loris)
Lineage: Eukaryota; Metazoa; Chordata; Mammalia; Primates; Lorisidae
Gene: ODF2L
Gene name: outer dense fiber of sperm tails 2 like
Exons: 18
Source: RefSeq, a predicted model, not a curated record
CCCUGCUCCCGGCCCGCGCCCCGCCCCUCACCCCCGCCAAUAGUAACAGGCGCUGCGCGCGCUUCCCCAAUUGGCUGCGCAAGUCGACGGGUGGGCGGGGCGGCCGUUGCCAGAGAAGCCCUUGCCGGUUGCUAUUGCCGCUAUUCUUCCGCUCGCAUCGUGCCGGGCACUCUUCCGCCGUAAGCAGUUCUUGGAUUUCUCCGGCUUCCCGCCUCGCAUCCUUGUUUUCCUGCCUAGUCUUGACCCACUGCCCUGCCCCUGUGUCCCGCUUCCUCCUAGCUGACUCAGGGCUGUAAAGCACAGCUUAUGUGGAGAAGUUGUUGUAGAAACCACCUAUAAAUCUGUUUACAGAAUUUAUGGCGGAGCCUCUAAAUAAUGGAAGUCAUUCAGAAGAACUCUUUUCCCAUCUUAAAUGUAGAUCAGAGAAAGAAGAUUUACCUUGUACCAGUGAAAGUCAUCUCUGCUGCCUGAAGCAGGACAUCCUAAAUGAAAAGAAUGAACUGGAAGCAACACUUAAGGAAGCCGAGUUGGCAGCCCAUUCUGUAGAAUUACUUUUGCCAUUAUUUAAGGAUACCAUUGAAGAGAUUAGUUUUGAAAAUGCUAAUCUUUCUGCGUCCAAUUUGAAGAAGAUUUCUGAACAGAAGGAAAUAUUAACAAAAGAAUUAGACACUUUUAAGCGUGUAAAACUAGCUUUAGAACAUCUUCUUAGAAAUACAGACUACAAACAAACGGGAGACAAUUUACCUAGCAUGUUGUUAAAGAUUCUAACUGAUAAUGGAAGUGAAAAUAGUCUAAAGAGUCUUAAGAAGAGGGUACUUGAGAAGGAAACAUAUAUCCAAGAACUUUCUUGUUUGUUUCAGAAUGAAAAGGCAAAUGCUUUGAAAGCAAACUCUUUUUCUCAAUCAGUAAAAGUAGUACAUGAUCGACUACAGUUCCAAAUUCAUAAAAAGGAAGCAGAGAAUGAUAAGCUAAAAGAAUACAUAAAGAGUUUAGAAUCCAAGAUAGCCAAAUGGAACUUGCAAGUGAGAAUGAAUAAGCACGAAGCUGUGGCGAUCAAGAAAGCAAGCAGGCAAAAAGUGAUAGCUCUAAAAAAGGCGUCUCAGAUUUACAGACAAAGGCUCGAACACUUUACAGGAGAUAUUGAAAACUUUGCUUCCAAAAUUAGAGAUCAGGAAGCCAAGUUAUCUGAAACAAUUUCAGUUUCCAAUGCCUGGAAAAGUCGUUAUGAGAAAAUCCUAAUGGAAAAAAGUGAAUUGGAAGUUCAGAUUGAAACAAUGAAAAGGCAAAUCACUAGUCUUCUGGAAGACCUGCAGAAAAUGGAAGACCAUGGAAAAAAUUCAUGUGAAGAAAUUCUUAGAAAACUUCACUCAAUUGAAUAUGAAAAUGAAACUCUAAAUCUUGAGAAUACAAAAUUAAAGACUACACUUGCUGCUUUGAAGGACAAGGUUGUUUCUGUUGAAAGUGAACUCUUAGAAUUGCAAGAAGUAGAAAAACAACAGAAAACCCUCAUGGAAGUAUACAAAACUCAGGUACAAAAGUUGCAAGAAGCAGCUGAAUUGGUGAAAAGCCGAUAUGAAAAUGUGCUACAUGAAAAUAGCCUAAUAACAAAAAACAAAAAUAAAAAGUUAGAGAAGAUUGAUAAAGAUCACAAUCUUCUGAUGAAACUUUCUCUGGAAAAGGAAAAUUAUCUUAUUCAGUUGAAGUGUGAAAAUCUUAAACAAAAAUUAGAACAGAUGGAUGCAGAAAAUAAAGAGCUUGAAAAGAAGCUGGUAAACCAAGAAGAAUGUCUCAAGCACAGCAAUCUUAAGUUUAAAGAGAAAUCUGAAGAACAUACAGCAUUGUCCAGGCAACUAGAAGCUGCUUUAGAAGAAGGAAGACAAAAGGUUUCUGAAGAAAUAGAGAAAAUGUCAUCUAGAGAGAGGGCCUUACAAAUUAAAAUAUUAGAUCUGGAAACUGAGCUUAGAAAGAAAAAUGAAGAGCAAAAUCAACUUGUUUGCAAAAUGAACAGUCUGUGGUUUCCUCAGCAUCUGCCAGCAGCCUGUUGUCUACAUCUCCUGGGUGGUAGCAAACCAAGUGGUGAAAGAUGUGAUGGUCUCACUUCUCAUGGGCCUAGGAGACGUUUACCAUCUGAUGAGUUUCUUUGAGGAACUGUUUUUGCUCCCACAUUUUUUCAGUUGGAAGCAGCAGCUCUUUGCCAACUACAAAGAUUGGAAGCCCUUCACUAGAGAACCCUCGUCAAGGUUUUCUGAGGCCAGCAGAUCCUUUGCAGCAAACAGCAAGUAAAGUUCUCUUUGGAGGGGAACACAUCAUUUCCAUUAUAUGGAACUCAGUACAGUUUGGCUUUGAAAUAACAGAUAAAGUUAUCAUCUGCAGUGGGAAAAUGGCUGAAGCAAAAUGAUAGCACACAAAAACAUGCAACAACAAUAACGAACACCACUCAGCAAGACACCGCUACACGUUGGUUGACAUGGGAGCGCCCGCAGGGCUCGAACUGGCAGAGCCCGUGCCAUGAGUGAAGAAUUACACUGUUUAGGUGAAGGAACCGCUGAGCUAGCGGCGGCCCACGUUGGUUGACAUGAACGCAGUUGUGAGACACUGAUAAACCAAGGAUAUAAACCCUUACCAAGUUGUUUGUACAGUGCUGCCAAUGUAAGUGCGUGGUGGCAAGUUCACAGACUUAAUUGUCAGACCUCAUGGAAUUGUGGUAAUUGAAAUUAAACAAACUAAGCAUUUGUCUGAAGAAGGUAUAAAAGGUACAAAAAAGUUGAGCAAAAUUGUAAUAGGGUAAAAAGCAGAAAUUGAUGAAAAAGAAAGCAAUAAAGCAAACAAAAUUUGGUAAGUAGUAUCUUAUAAAAGUCCAGUAAAAUAGAUAAAAUCUUUGGCAAGUCUGGCCAGAAAAAAAUAUAAAGAAUUGAAAUGCAAGUAUUAUGAACGGUAAAGAUUAAGAAUAUAAAUAAAAUGAGCAUACAUAACUUUGAUAUUCAAGAAAAAUCUAGAUAGGAUGGAUUGUUUAAGAUAACCAAAAUCAAUAAGAAAACAACAAAAAUAUGAAUAAACCAAUAACCACAGAAGAAAUUUAAAAGGCUUAAAAUUUACUUCCUGAGAGGCACAGAUUUUAUAGGUUUCUCUGGUGAGUUCUACAGAUCAUGAACAAAAAUGGCAUAAAAUCAAACUAUUUAGCCCAAUCUUAAAUAUGAUGAUGAAAAAUUCCAAAUAAACUGUUGAAAUGCAUCAAAUUUGAAACAUUUAAAUAUAAUAAAAUAUGUUAACAAAUUGUGAUUUAGGAGUGUUUUCCCUCUGUGAUGCAAGCAUAAUUUAAAGUAGGAAAUCCAGUAAUACAGUCAAGUACAGUAAUAGUUAAAGAGGAAAACACAAGCAUGUUAUUUCAUUAAACUUUAAUAGUAAGUUUACCAUUGCUUCCUAUUAAAAAAAAUAAUAGAAUAUAACUUGCUUAAUAUAAUAAAUAGAUUU